GUGCUAGGAUUACAGGCAUGAGCCACCACCCCUGGCCUGAAACUGAUUCUUAAAUUUUGGUAGCACAUAUACUAAACUUGGAAUGAUAAAGAGAAGACUAGAAUGGCCCCUGUGCAAGGAUGACAUGCAAAUUUGUGAAGCAUUCCAUAUUUUU
Molecule: small nuclear RNA, 154 nt
Filed under: Propithecus coquereli (Coquerel's sifaka)
Lineage: Eukaryota; Metazoa; Chordata; Mammalia; Primates; Indriidae
Source: RNAcentral